GCGCCUGUGGCGGAAUUGGUAGACGCGCAAGGUUGAGGGCCUUGUGGCCCGUUUGGGCCGUGGGAGUUCGAAUCUCCCUGGGCGCA
RNAcentral lists this transfer RNA (86 nucleotides) under Thermoleophilaceae bacterium. RNAcentral's name for it is "tRNA-Leu". It matches the Rfam family "tRNA". From Rfam's summary of the family: Transfer RNA (tRNA) molecules are approximately 80 nucleotides in length. Lineage: Bacteria; Bacillati; Actinomycetota; Thermoleophilia; Thermoleophilales; Thermoleophilaceae. The record is from RNAcentral.